GUACAGCACAAAAUUUUUGUUCUUCCGAAAUUGAAAGAGCAAGCUCCCGUAGUAGAUCAUGCAUCUUGCAUGCUUUUGGAAGUCCAUAUGAGUUCCUCUCUACAGCUUGAAGCAUACUUCGGCGAAUGAGUUCCAUCUCAGCAACCUCUUCUGGUGUUAUCCCUCUGACCUGUUCUACAAACCCCUCUGCCAUCCAUAAUCUGAUGAGUCUCUUUCGCUUAAUUGAAUAAUCCUCAGGAAAUAAGCAGCAAUAGAGGAAACAAUGCUUAAGUCGGUAUGGCAAAUCAUUGUAGCUCAGCAACAAGAUGCUUUUCACUGGUUGAAGUAUUUGGUUAUUGUGCAACUCCCAAUUCAAGCUAUUGCCAACCAUCCUCCAUUCUGAUGAGCUUUUGGCAGACAAGAGACCACCCAAUGACACAAUUGCGAGAGGUAGUCCUUGGCAUUUUUCCACUAUGUCCUUGGCUAAAAUUUCAAGCUCCAAGGGGCACUUGUUGCCAUUCCUUGAGAAAGCUUUCAUGCAAAAAAGGGCCCAUGCUUCAAUUUCUGAUAGUGGACGAAUAUGAUGAACAUGGCUUCCAAUUUCAAAAGAAAGAGAAGCUACGCUUUCAUUCCUUGUUGUAAGCAUGACUCGAC
RNAcentral lists this unclassified non-coding RNA (633 nucleotides) under Hevea brasiliensis (rubber tree). The record is from RNAcentral. Lineage: Eukaryota; Viridiplantae; Streptophyta; Magnoliopsida; Malpighiales; Euphorbiaceae.